This 482-nucleotide ribosomal RNA is filed under the name uncultured bacterium. Its description in RNAcentral is "partial 16S ribosomal RNA". It matches the Rfam family "Bacterial small subunit ribosomal RNA", at positions 30 to 507 of the family's 1533-position model. The record is from RNAcentral.
AUUGAACGCUGGCGGCAUGCCUUACACAUGCAAGUCGAACGGUAACAGGUCUUCGGAUGCUGACGAGUGGCGAACGGGUGAGUAAUACAUCGGAACGUGCCCGAUCGUGGGGGAUAACGGAGCGAAAGCUUUGCUAAUACCGCAUACGAUCUACGGAUGAAAGCAGGGGACCGCAAGGCCUUGCGCGGACGGAGCGGCCGAUGGCAGAUUAGGUAGUUGGUGGGAUAAAAGCUUACCAAGCCGACGAUCUGUAGCUGGUCUGAGAGGACGACCAGCCACACUGGGACUGAGACACGGCCCAGACUCCUACGGGAGGCAGCAGUGGGGAAUUUUGGACAACGGGCGAAAGCCUGAUCCAGCCAUGCCGCGUGCAGGAUGAAGGCCUUCGGGUUGUAAACUGCUUUUGUACGGAACGAAAAGACUCUUUCUAAUAAAGAGGGUCCAUGACGGUACCGUAAGAAUAAGCACCGGCUAACUACGUG